UGGGAAUGUGACACGUUUAGGCA
Molecule: non-coding RNA, 23 nt
Filed under: Arabidopsis thaliana (thale cress)
Lineage: Eukaryota; Viridiplantae; Streptophyta; Magnoliopsida; Brassicales; Brassicaceae
Source: RNAcentral